Molecule: non-coding RNA, 220 nt
Organism: Pelobates cultripes (western spadefoot toad)
Lineage: Eukaryota; Metazoa; Chordata; Amphibia; Anura; Pelobatidae
Source: the annotation of a GenBank genome assembly
CAGCACUUUGUGUAUGACAGCUCUUUGUAUCUAUGUUGGCAUUUUAGCUUGUUUAUUAUAAAUCAGUGGGCACACUAGGUGGCAUCCUGUGCACAGUGGAAACAUUUAUGGUAACUAAAUUGAGAAACCUGGGCAGACUGAAUCUUUAACAUGUAAAUCAACGGCACACCUAUAUAAAAAUAACCAUCCUUAUUUAAUGACAAAAAAGUACAACUCAUUU